This 1992-nucleotide ribosomal RNA is filed under the name Triticum aestivum (bread wheat). RNAcentral's name for it is "partial small subunit ribosomal RNA". Lineage: Eukaryota; Viridiplantae; Streptophyta; Magnoliopsida; Poales; Poaceae. The record is from RNAcentral.
AUGGCAGAGGAAGGGGGCGGCGCGGAGGAGAAGGCCGUCGUCGGGGCAGGAGAGCAGGAGGGGCAGAUCGUCGUCGCCGGAGCGGCGUACGAGGAGGAGGAGACGGACGGCGGAGGAGGAGCCGCAGGAGACGAGGAGAUCGGCAGGGGCGACGGCCAGUUCAUAUUCAUUCCGCCGCCGGGGUUCCGGUUCAGGCCGAGCGACGACGAGCUGAUCAGGUACUACCUGCUCCCCAAGCUGCAGGGCCGGGGCCACGCGCCCAACCGGGCCAUCAUCGAGCACAACGUGUACCAGUGCCACCCGGACGAGCUCGUCGGACAAUACAGGGGCCGGGGAGAGGGCAAGAGCUUCUACUUCCUGUCGCCGAGGGUGCGCCGGUACGACAACGGGGACCGGCCGCGGCGGGACACGGACGACGGCCGCGGGCGGUGGAAGGUGUCGACGGGCAAGAAGGACAUGGGGGAGGAGAAGAAGGUGGCCGGCGACGGCACCACCCGCUACUGCAUGAGCGUGCUCAACUACUUCGAGAGCCCCAGAGGCGGCGGGCGCAAGUCUGAGUGGCUCAUGAGGGAGCUCACCGUCCCGGCGUACGAGAUCAAGCUCCCCAAGGACGGCGGCCCUGGCGGCAAGACGUUGGAUAGGUACGUGAUGUGCAAGAUUUACCUCAAAGACGACAAAGGCGACGACGACGAGGAGGCAGGGCCCAGCAGCGCCUCGCCGCUGCACCUGCACGGGCCGGUGGAGGGCGACGAAGGGGCGACGUCGGCGGAGCUUCCAAAGCUUUCGAAGAAACUGGCGGGCAAGAGGCCCGCGGAGGACCAGCAGCUGCGGCACGCCACCGCCGCCGCGAGGAAGCGGGCUCACCACUCCUCAAAAUGCCUGCAAAUCGAGCCGCCAGCACCACCGCUACAAGGCAACGGCAUGCAGGCUCCGUUCAGCACGCCGGGAUGCUCAUACUACGGUGGAUCAGGGCAGCCCAUGCUCAUGGGGUAUCACGCUGGCGCGGCGCCGAUGCCGCGGCCAAUGCUGGCGUACAACAACGGCCAGGUGCACGUGCCGCGGCAGCAGGUGGCGUACAACGGGCAGAUGCCGGCGAUGGCGCGACAGCCGGCGGCGUACAACGGGCAGGUAGCGUACAACGGGCAGAUGCCGGCGAUGGCGCGACAGCCGGCGGCGUACAACGGGCAGGUGGCGUACAACGGGCAGAUGCCGGCGAUGGCGCGACAGCCGGCGGCGUACAACGGGCAGGUGGCGUACAACGGGCAGAUGCCGGCGAUGGCGCGACAGCCGGCGGCGUACAACGGGCAGGCGCCGGUGAUGGCGCGACAGCCGUUGGCGUACAACGGGCAGGUGCCGGUGAGGCAGCAGCAGGUGGCGUUCAACGGGCAGGUGCGGCCGCCGCCGUGCCGGCUCGCAGGUAGCCCCCCCAACAGCUAUGGUCAGAAUCUGACAAUGAUGGCGCGGCCGUCGUGCCCGGCCGGCCAAGCAGUGAACCCGCAGAUGCAGAAGCAGCCGGAGACGGAUGAGAUGCGCGAGAAGCGGGUGCUUCAACAGAACCUGGAGGAACACCUCCGGAUGCAGUCGUUGACGCAGCAGCAGCAGCUUGCGAUGGCGUCCACGCAGCAGCAGCGGCAGGCGAUGGCAUUCAUGAUGCGCCAGCAGCAGCAAUGGACGAUGUCGUUCAUGAUGCACCAGCAGCAGCAGCACCAUCAGCAGCAGCAACAGUACUUGGGCGGCGCCAACGCGAAUUACUAUCACCACGAAGGGGCCAUGGUGCUCCAGACGACGAGCAGUUCUCCAGGAGAGGCGGCGCUGGUAACAGCAGACGGUUCGCCGGUCAGUACGGUGGUGUCUGUGGAGGGAAACGAGGAGGACUGCAACAACAACGGGGAUUGCAGCAGCCAUGGUCGGGAGGAGUCUGCGGCUUCGCCGGGCGGGGUGACGGCGCCGGCAUCGGCAUCGGCAGAGGGUGAUGGCCCCCAGCGUGCAUGA